UGGGCGAUUUGAGAACCUCCAUAGCUCGUAAUGCGCGGUGGCCACUGGAUGGGUAUCGAAAUGAAUCAAGCUCAGAGCUGAAUGGUGCUAAGAGCGACUGGAUGAUCAUCUUCACUCUGCGUGUGUUACUGUUUUAACACAUUGAUGGUCAAACACAGCCUGAAUGGAAAGUCAUUUUGACCUGCUCCACAUUUUUACUUAAGAACUGCUUUUAACAAUAAGCCACUGGUGUACUUGUUUCUGGACUGACUUGAGUUUUUGGCACAAUAUGAAAAGCAUUUGGAAAGUAGUAUGUAUAUCAUGGCAAACAAGUGAACUAGAAUGAUAAAUGAUUAUACAAAUCUUGGACGACAAAUAGAAGCGAGUAGAGACAAAGGAUCAUCGUCUCUGACCAGAAGUCCCAUGCGGGCUGUUUGUUUCUUGGGACUCGGCUACGUCCAGAGAGAGGUUGCGCUUUCUUCGGAGGACUGGGAACCGCAGCCCAAACACAGAGCUCUGUGGCUGUGA
Molecule: long non-coding RNA, 507 nt
Filed under: Felis catus (domestic cat)
Lineage: Eukaryota; Metazoa; Chordata; Mammalia; Carnivora; Felidae
Description: lncRNA (ENSFCAG00000042017.2)
Source: RNAcentral